This 497-nucleotide ribosomal RNA is filed under the name uncultured bacterium. Its description in RNAcentral is "bacterial SSU rRNA". It matches the Rfam family "Bacterial small subunit ribosomal RNA", at positions 28 to 521 of the family's 1533-position model. The record is from RNAcentral.
GAUGAACGCUAGCGGCAGGCUUAAUACAUGCAAGUCGAGGGGCAGCACGGGUAGCAAUACCUGGUGGCGACCGGCAAACGGGUGCGGAACACGUACGCAACUUUCCCAAAACUGGUGAAUAGCCCUCCGAAAGGAGGAUUAAUACACCGUAACAUAAUGAAGUGGCAUCACUUUAUUAUUAUAGCUCCGGCGGUUUUGGAUGGGCGUGCGCCUGAUUAGGUAGUUGGCGGGUAACGGCCCACCAAGCCUUCGAUCAGUAACUGGUGUGAGAGCACGACCAGUCACACGGGCACUGAGACACGGGCCCGACUCCUACGGGAGGCAGCAGUAAGGAAUAUUGGUCAAUGGACGCAAGUCUGAACCAGCCAUGCCGCGUGAAGGAAGAAGGCGCUAUGCGUCGUAAACUGCUUUUACACCAGAGAAAACCCCUGUACGUGUACGGGGCUGAUAGUACGGUGAGAAUAAGCAUCGGCUAACUUCGUGCCAGCAGCCGCGGU